This 543-nucleotide long non-coding RNA is filed under the name Gossypium barbadense (sea-island cotton). Its description in RNAcentral is "long non-coding RNA (GBAR_LNC002751)". Lineage: Eukaryota; Viridiplantae; Streptophyta; Magnoliopsida; Malvales; Malvaceae. The record is from RNAcentral.
GAUAAAGUCUCUUCACCAUUGUUUCAACAUGAAGGUUUGUAAUAAAAAUUUGUUUCUAUCAGCAUUGCUUUGCAUUGCUAUUGCAGGAGUUUUGGGUCAAGCUCCUAGUAAUCCUCCUACGUCUACGCCGGCGCCACCCACACCACCGGCUUCUACUCCUCCUCCGACGACUCAACCACCGCCUACACCAACCGCCACUCCGCCACCAGUUUCUACUCCUCUUCCCACUUCAUCACCGCCCCCAGUGACAGCUUCUCCACCCCCAGUUUCAACUCCUCCACCCAGUUCUCCUCCUCCCGCAACUCCACCACCUGCUUCUCCACCUCCUGCAACUCCACCUCCAGCUUCUCCACCUCCUGCAACUCCACCUCCAGCUUCUCCACCUCCCGCCACUCCUCCACCAGCAACCCCCCCACCUGCAACUCCUCCUGCUACCCCACCACCAGCUCCAUUGGCUUCUCCUCCAGCCACAGUCCCAGCUAUCUCUCCAGUACAAACACCAUUGACCUCGCCACCAGCUCCGCCGACCGAGGCCCCAGCACC